CCUACGGGUGGCAGCAGUGAGGAAUAUUGGUCAAUGGGCGCGAGCCUGAACCAGCCAUGUCGCGUGAAGGAUGACUGCCCUACGGGUUGUAAACUUCUUUUAUAAAGGAAUAAAGUGAGGCACGUGUACCUUUUUGUAUGUACUUUAUGAAUAAGGAUCGGCUAACUCCGUGCCAGCAGCCGCGGUAAUACGGAGGAUCCGAGCGUUAUCCGGAUUUAUUGGGUUUAAAGGUAGCGUAGAUGGGUUGUUAAGUCAGUUGUGAAAGUUUGGGGCUUAACGGGAAAAUUGCAAUUGAUACUGGCAGCCUUGAGAGCAGAGGAGGUAGGCGGAAUGCGUGGUGUAGCGGUGAAAUGCUUAGAGAUCACGCAGAACUCCGAUUGCGAAGGCAGCCUACCAAACUGCCACUGACAUUGAUGCACGAAAGUGUGGGUAUCAAACAGGAUUAGAUACCCCUGUAGUC
This 460-nucleotide ribosomal RNA is filed under the name uncultured bacterium. RNAcentral's name for it is "partial 16S ribosomal RNA". It matches the Rfam family "Bacterial small subunit ribosomal RNA", at positions 338 to 795 of the family's 1533-position model. The record is from RNAcentral.